AACGGGUGAGUAAUGCAUCGGAAUGUACCGUGUAAUGGGGGAUAGCUCGGCGAAAGCCGGAUUAAUACCGCAUACGCCCUGAGGGGGAAAGUGGGGGACCGUAAGGCCUCACGUUAUACGAGCAGCCGAUGUCUGAUUAGCUAGUUGGUGGGGUAAAGGCUCACCAAGGCUUCGAUCAGUAGCGGGUCUGAGAGGAUGAUCCGCCACACUGGGACUGAGACACGGCCCAGACUCCUACGGGAGGCAGCAGUGGGGAAUUUUGGACAAUGGGCGCAAGCCUGAUCCAGCCAUGCCGCGUGUCUGAAGAAGGCCUUCGGGUUGUAAAGGACUUUUGUCCGGGAGCAAAUCCCAGUGGUUAAUACCUACUGGGGCUGAGAGUACCGGAAGAAUAAGCACCGGCUAACUACGUGCCAGCAGCCGCGGUAAUACGUAGGGUGCAAGCGUUAAUCGGAAUUACUGGGCGUAAAGCGUGCGCAGGCGGUUGUGCAAGUCUGAUGUGAAAGCCCCGGGCUUAACCUGGGAACGGCAUUGGAGACUGCACGACUAGAGUG
RNAcentral lists this ribosomal RNA (551 nucleotides) under Chromobacterium haemolyticum. RNAcentral's name for it is "bacterial SSU rRNA". It matches the Rfam family "Bacterial small subunit ribosomal RNA", at positions 101 to 648 of the family's 1533-position model. Lineage: Bacteria; Pseudomonadati; Pseudomonadota; Betaproteobacteria; Neisseriales; Chromobacteriaceae. The record is from RNAcentral.